Molecule: ribosomal RNA, 228 nt
Filed under: uncultured bacterium
Lineage: Bacteria
Description: partial 16S ribosomal RNA
Rfam family: Bacterial small subunit ribosomal RNA
Source: RNAcentral
CGCGCAGGCGGAUGUGAAAGUUGAGUGUGAAAUCUACGGGCUUAACCCGUAAACUGCACUCAAAACUACACGUCUUGAGUUCAGAAGGGGAGAACGGAAUUCCUAGUGUAGGGGUGAAAUCUGUAGAUAUUAGGAAGAACACCGGUGGCGAAGGCGGUUCUCUGGUCUGAAACUGACGCUGAGGCGCGAAAGCUAGGGUAGCGAACAGGAUUAGAUACCUGGUAGUCC